RNAcentral lists this ribosomal RNA (492 nucleotides) under uncultured bacterium. Its description in RNAcentral is "partial 16S ribosomal RNA". It matches the Rfam family "Bacterial small subunit ribosomal RNA", at positions 29 to 507 of the family's 1533-position model. The record is from RNAcentral.
AGUGAACGCUGGCGGUAGGCCUAACACAUGCAAGUCGAACGGCAGCACAGUAAGAGCUUGCUCUUACGGGUGGCGAGUGGCGGACGGGUGAGGAAUACAUCGGAAUCUACUUUUUCGUGGGGGAUAACGUAGGGAAACUUACGCUAAUACCGCAUACGACCUACGGGUGAAAGCAGGGGAUCUUCGGACCUUGCGCGAUUGAAUGAGCCGAUGUCGGAUUAGCUAGUUGGCGGGGUAAAGGCCCACCAAGGCGACGAUCCGUAGCUGGUCUGAGAGGAUGAUCAGCCACACUGGAACUGAGCCACGGUCCAGACUCCUACGGGAGGCAGCAGUGGGGAAUAUUGGACAAUGGGCGCAAGCCUGAUCCAGCCAUACCGCGUGGGUGAAGCAGGCCUUCGGGUUGUAAAGCCCUUUUGUUGGGAAAGAAAAGCAGCAGGUUAAUACCCCGCUGUUCUGACGGUACCCAAAGAAUAAGCACCGGCUAACUUCGUG